This 393-nucleotide ribosomal RNA is filed under the name uncultured bacterium. RNAcentral's name for it is "bacterial SSU rRNA". It matches the Rfam family "Bacterial small subunit ribosomal RNA", at positions 28 to 417 of the family's 1533-position model. The record is from RNAcentral.
GACGAACGCUGGCGGCGUGCUUAACACAUGCAAGUGGAGCGACGAACCAGGGCUUGCCCUGGGGCAGAGCCGCGAACGGGUGAGUAACACGUGGGUAACGUGCCCCGAUGAUCGGGACAACCCGGGAAACCCGGGCUAAUACCGAAUGUGCUCCCUCACACCAGUGAGGGAUGGAAAGGAAGCUUCGGCCUCCGCAUCGGGAUCGGCCCGCGGCCCAUUAGCUCGUUGGUGAGGUAACGGCUCACCAAGGCUGCGAUGGGUAGCUGGUCUGAGAGGACGAUCAGCCACACUGGGACUGAGACACGGCCCAGACUCCUACGGGAGGCAGCAGUGGGGAAUCUUGCGCAAUGCGCGAAAGCGUGACGCAGCAACGCCGCGUGGGGAAGACGGCCU